UGCCAGCCGCCGCGGUAAUACGAAGGGUGCUAGCGUUGUUCGGAAUUACUGGGCGUAAAGCGCGCGUAGGCGGUGUGCAUAGUCAGAGGUGAAAGCCCGGGGCUCAACCCCGGAACUGCCUCUAAUACUGCUAGUCUUGAGUUCGAGAGAGGUGAGUGGAAUUCCGAGUGUAGAGGUGAAAUUCGUAGAUAUUCGGAGGAACACCAGUGGCGAAGGCGGCUCACUGGCUCGAUACUGACGCUGAGGUGCGAAAGCGUGGGGAGCAAACAGGAUUAGAUA
This 279-nucleotide ribosomal RNA is filed under the name uncultured bacterium. Its description in RNAcentral is "partial 16S ribosomal RNA". It matches the Rfam family "Bacterial small subunit ribosomal RNA", at positions 506 to 784 of the family's 1533-position model. The record is from RNAcentral.